This 406-nucleotide ribosomal RNA is filed under the name uncultured bacterium. RNAcentral's name for it is "partial 16S ribosomal RNA". It matches the Rfam family "Bacterial small subunit ribosomal RNA", at positions 30 to 526 of the family's 1533-position model. The record is from RNAcentral.
AUUGAACGCUGGCGGCAGGCCUAACACAUGCAAGUCGAACGAGUGGCGGACGGGUGAGUAAUGUCUGGGAAACUGCCGGAUGGAGGGGGAUAACUACUGGAAACGGUAGCUAAUACCGCAUACCAUCAGAUGUGCCCAAAUGGGAUUAGCUUGUUGGUGGGGUAACGGCUCACCAAGGCGACGAUCCCUAGCUGGUCUGAGAGGAUGACCAGCCACACUGGAACUGAGACACGGUCCAGACUCCUAGGGGAGCCAGAAGUGGUGAAUAUUGCACAAUGGGCGCAAGCCUGAUGCAGCCAUGCCGCGUGUAUGAAGAAGGCCUUCGGGUUGUAAAGUACUUUCAGCGGGGAGGCGUUACUCGCAGAAGAAGCACCGGCUAACUCCGUGCCAGCAGCCGCGGUAAUAC